This 300-nucleotide ribosomal RNA is filed under the name uncultured Bacillus sp. Its description in RNAcentral is "bacterial SSU rRNA". It matches the Rfam family "Bacterial small subunit ribosomal RNA", at positions 496 to 795 of the family's 1533-position model. The record is from RNAcentral. Lineage: Bacteria; Bacillati; Bacillota; Bacilli; Caryophanales; Bacillaceae.
GACACCUAGAGGCCAGCGGCCGGGGUAAUGCGGAGGUGGUGUGCGGUGUCCGGAAUUACUUGGCGUAAAGGGUGAGUAGGCUGAAUAUUAAGUCAGAUGUGAAAUCCCAGGGCUUAACCUUGGAGUGGCAGUUGAAACUGGUAUUCUAGAGUGCAGGAGAGGAAAGCGGAAUUCCUAGUGUAGCGGGGAAAUGCGUAGAUAUUAGGAAGAACACCAGUGGCGAAGGCGGCUUUCUGGACUGUAACUGACGCUGAGGCACGAAAGCGUGGGGAGCAAACAGGAUUAGAUACCCCGGUAGUC